RNAcentral lists this ribosomal RNA (330 nucleotides) under uncultured eukaryote. RNAcentral's name for it is "partial 18S ribosomal RNA". It matches the Rfam family "Eukaryotic small subunit ribosomal RNA", at positions 1470 to 1796 of the family's 1831-position model. The record is from RNAcentral.
CCCUUAGAUGUUCUGGGCCGCACGCGCGCUACACUGAUGCAUUCAACGAGUCUAAAACCUGGUCUGAUAGGGCUGGGUAAUCUUUUGAAUGUGCAUCGUGAUUGGGAUAGAUGAUUGCAAUUCUUCAUCUUCAACGAGGAAUGCCUAGUAAACGCAAGUCAUCAGCUUGCAUUGAUUACGUCCCUGCCCUUUGUACACACCGCCCGUCGCUCCUACCGAUUGAAUGUUCCGAUGAAUACCAUGGACUGAGAGUAUGAAUGGGUUCGCCUAUUUCUGCUUCUCGGGAAGUGGAGUAAAUCUUAACAUUUGGAGGAAGGAGAAGUCGUAACA